This is a long non-coding RNA of Arabidopsis lyrata subsp. lyrata, 296 nucleotides long. RefSeq lists it as uncharacterized. Lineage: Eukaryota; Viridiplantae; Streptophyta; Magnoliopsida; Brassicales; Brassicaceae. The transcript is spliced from 2 exons. The record is from RefSeq and is a predicted model, not a curated record.
AUUUCUGUAAGAUUUCAAUAUUAAUUUUCAAGAUUCAAAAUACAAUAACAUACCUUCAGUAUAUAAAUACAAGCGUUCACAUAGAAAAAACACCUCAUUUGUUUUUAGUUUUUUUCUUCUUUUCAAUUCUCUACAACUAGAAAAUUCUAGAUUUCUUCACAAUAUGUAUCACUAAUAUAUAUUUUGUAUUGUUUUUUGCAGUUCAAUUGUAAGCGGCCAUUCAUGGCAAAUAAGAGUGGGAUCAGUGCAUCGAAAAAUUUCUUAACGAGCUAAACUAAAAAAGACUAUCAUCUUCG